Small nuclear RNA from Myodes glareolus (Bank vole), 107 nucleotides. The record is from RefSeq and is a predicted model, not a curated record. Lineage: Eukaryota; Metazoa; Chordata; Mammalia; Rodentia; Cricetidae.
GUGCUCGCUUCGGCAGCACAUACACUGAAAAUGGAACAAUACAGUGAAGGUUAGCAUGUCCCCUGCAUAAGGAUGACACACAAAUUUGUGAAGCAUUUCAUAUUUUA